GAUGAAGAACGUAGUGAAAUGCGAUACUUGGUGUGAAUUGCAGAAUCCCGUGAACCAUCGAGUCUUUGAACGCAAGUUGCGCCCGAAGCCAUUAGGCCGAGGGCACGCCUGCCUGGGCGUCACACGUCGUUGCCCCCCCAUCUACUCCUUCGGGAUUGCGGGGGGCGGAUGAUGGCCUCCCGUGCGCCUCGUCGCGCGGUUGGCAUAAAUGCCAAGUCCUCGGCGACGCACGCCACGACAAUCGGUGGUUGCGAAACCUCGGUUGCCCGUCGUGUGCGGUCGUCGCGCAUCGAGGGCUCGAAAAAAUUGUCGGGCUCCGGCUCGGCUUUCAACGCGACCCCAGGUCAGGCGGGGUUACCCGCUGAAUUUAAGCAUAUCAAUAAGCGGAGG
RNAcentral lists this unclassified non-coding RNA (390 nucleotides) under soil metagenome. RNAcentral describes it as "partial contains 5.8S ribosomal RNA, internal transcribed spacer 2, and large subunit ribosomal RNA". The stretch from base 1 to 122 matches the Rfam family "5.8S ribosomal RNA", at positions 35 to 154 of the family's 154-position model. The record is from RNAcentral.